GAUGAACGCUGGCGGCGUGCCUAAUACAUGCAAGUCGAGCGAACAGACGAGGAGCUUGCUCCUCUGACGUUAGCGGCGGACGGGUGAGUAACACGUGGAUAACCUACCUAUAAGACUGGGAUAACUUCGGGAAACCGGAGCUAAUACCGGAUAAUAUAUUGAACCGUAUGGUUCAAUAGUGAAAGACGGUUUUGCUGUCACUUAUAGAUGGAUCCGGGCGGCAUUAGAUAGUUGGUAAGGUAACGGCUUACCAAGGCAACGAUGCGUAGCCGACGGGAGAGGGUGAUCGGCCACACGGGAACGGAGACACGGACCAGACGCCUACGGGAGGCAGCAGUAGGGAAUCUUCCGCAAUGGGCGAAAGCCUGACGGAGCAACGCCGCGUGAGUGAUGAAGGUCUUCGGAUCGUAAAACUCUGUUAUUAGGGAAGAACAAAUGUGUAAGUAACUAUGCACGUCUUGACGGUACCUAAUCAGAAAGCCACGGCUAACUACGUG
Molecule: ribosomal RNA, 497 nt
Filed under: uncultured bacterium
Lineage: Bacteria
Description: partial 16S ribosomal RNA
Rfam family: Bacterial small subunit ribosomal RNA
Source: RNAcentral